UACGGGACAACGUUAGGGAAACUGACGCUAAUACCGUAUAAUAUCUCAGGAUACAAAGUAUUUAUCGCUGGAGGGAGCACGCCCGCGUCUGAUUAGCUAGUUGGUGAGGUAAUGGCUCACCAAGGCUACGAUCAGUAGCAGGUCUGAGAGGAUGAUCUGCCACACUGGGACUGAGACACGGCCCAGACUCCUACGGGAGGCAGCAGUUAGGAAUAUUGGACAAUGGGCGAAAGCCUGAUCCAGCCAUGCCGCGUGUGUGAUGAACGGCCCUAGGGUUAGUAAAGCUACUUUCGUUGGGGAUGAUAAUGACCGUACCCAAAGAAGAAGCACCGGCUAACUUCGUG
This 344-nucleotide ribosomal RNA is filed under the name uncultured bacterium. RNAcentral describes it as "bacterial SSU rRNA". It matches the Rfam family "Bacterial small subunit ribosomal RNA", at positions 137 to 507 of the family's 1533-position model. The record is from RNAcentral.